AUUUGGGCCAUUGUUGUUGGGCCAUUAUUUUUGGGCCAUUACAUACACACUCUCUUUUUCAGACUUUCAAAUAGCCCUAACAUGAUAACAUUCAAAUUCCUAAAUCCCUAAUUUUUUCCUCUCUUUCUCUCUCUCUCUCUCGUUCUCCGUCUGACCCUCACCCUAAGUCAAUCCCUAAUUUUUUUCCCCUCUUUCUCUCUCGUUCUCCCUCAGACCCUCACCCAGUCACCCUAAGUUCCCAACUACUUACACCACGACCACACAGCCGCCACCCGCCAGCCCACCACUUGGCACCUCGUCGGUCGUUGUCGUCGAACUCGUUCGCCGCCGUCACCCCAACCUCGUCCGGCGAACUCAUCGACCUAUCAGAUCGACCACUCACCAGGCACCACUAAGCUUUUUUGGUUUAGUGACGACGAUGCAUUCCAUCUCAUAAACCUCUUAGAUCUCCAAUUCCACCUCCUUUGCCUAGUUAGGUACGUAAUCUCCUUCUCCUCCCCUCGUUUUAUUCGAUUUAAUCAGAAUUUGGUUCCCCACAUCUAAUUAAAUCCACUUUGUUGUUGUUGUUGAUGAUGAUGAUGAUGAUGAUGAUGAUUGUUGUUGUUGUUGUUUGCUGGAUUUUUUGAUCGGGUUCAUUGACUGUUGUUGGGGGUGUUGUUAUUUUUAUUGUUGUUGAUGAUGAUGAUGAUGAUGA
This 694-nucleotide long non-coding RNA is filed under the name Ananas comosus (pineapple). Its description in RNAcentral is "long non-coding RNA (ACOM_LNC009190)". The record is from RNAcentral. Lineage: Eukaryota; Viridiplantae; Streptophyta; Magnoliopsida; Poales; Bromeliaceae.